This 406-nucleotide ribosomal RNA is filed under the name uncultured bacterium. RNAcentral's name for it is "partial 16S ribosomal RNA". It matches the Rfam family "Bacterial small subunit ribosomal RNA", at positions 28 to 526 of the family's 1533-position model. The record is from RNAcentral.
GACGAACGCUGGCGGCGUGCCUAAUACAUGCAAGUCGAACGAGGGGCGGACGGGUGAGUAACACGUGGGAACCUACCCAUCAGAGGGGGAUAACACUUGGAAACAGGUGCUAAUACCGCAUACUGAUGGAUGGACCCGCGGUGCAUUAGCUAGUCGGCGGGGUAAAGGCCCACCAAGGCGACGAUCCGUAGCUGGUCUGAGAGGAUGAUCAGCCACACUGGAACUGAGACACGGUCCAGACUCCUACGGGAGGCAGCAGUGGGGAAUAUUGGACAAUGGGCGCAAGCCUGAUCCAGCCAUACCGCGUGGGUGAAGAAGGCCUUCGGGUUGUAAAGCCCUUUUGUUGGGAAAGCGGUACCCAAAGAAUAAGCACCGGCUAACUUCGUGCCAGCAGCCGCGGUAAUUC